UGGGGAAUAUUGGACAAUGGGCGAAAGCCUGAUCCAGCCAUGCCGCGUGUGUGAAGAAGGUCUUCGGAUUGUAAAGCACUUUAAGUUGGGAGGAAGGGCAGUAAGCGAAUACCUUGCUGUUUUGACGUUACCGACAGAAUAAGCACCGGCUAACUCUGUGCCAGCAGCCGCGGUAAUACAGAGGGUGCAAGCGUUAUUCGGAAUUACUGGGCGUAAAGCGCGCGUAGGUGGUUCGUUAAGUUGAAUGUGAAAGCCUCGGGCUCAACCUGGGAACUGCGUCCACAACUGGCGAGCUAGAGUAGGGCAGAGGGUGGUGGAAUUUCCUGUGUAGCGGUGAAAUGCGUAGAUAUAGGAAGGAACACCAGUGGCGAAGGCGACCACCUGGGCUCAUACUGACACUGAGGUGCCAAAGCGUGGGGAGCAAACAGG
This 429-nucleotide ribosomal RNA is filed under the name Pseudomonadota bacterium. Its description in RNAcentral is "Proteobacteria bacterium partial 16S ribosomal RNA". It matches the Rfam family "Bacterial small subunit ribosomal RNA", at positions 355 to 776 of the family's 1533-position model. The record is from RNAcentral. Lineage: Bacteria; Pseudomonadati; Pseudomonadota.